ACAAUGGCAGGUACAGAGGGAUGCUACCGGGCGACCGGAUGCGGAUCUCGAAAGCCUGUCCCAGUUCGGACUGGAGUCUGCAACCCGACUCCACGAAGUUGGAUUCGCUAGUAAUCGCGCAUCAGCCAUGGCGUGGUGAAUACGUUCCCGGGCCUUGUACACACCGCCCGUCAAGCCAUGGGAGCCGGGGGUACCUGAAGUGCGUAACCGCGAGGAUCGCCCUAGGGUAAAACUGGUGACUGGGGCUAAGUCGUAACAAGGUAUC
Molecule: ribosomal RNA, 265 nt
Filed under: uncultured bacterium
Lineage: Bacteria
Description: partial 16S ribosomal RNA
Rfam family: Bacterial small subunit ribosomal RNA
Source: RNAcentral